RNAcentral lists this ribosomal RNA (253 nucleotides) under uncultured bacterium. RNAcentral describes it as "partial 16S ribosomal RNA". It matches the Rfam family "Bacterial small subunit ribosomal RNA", at positions 524 to 776 of the family's 1533-position model. The record is from RNAcentral.
UACGAAGGGUGCAAGCGUUACUCGGAAUUACUGGGCGUAAAGCGUGCGCAGGCGGUUAUGCAAGACAGAUGUUAAAUCCCCGGGCUCAACCUGGGAACUGCAUUUGUGACUGCAUGGCUAGAGUACGGUAGAGGGGGAUGGAAUUCCGCGUGUAGCAGUGAAAUGCGUAGAUAUGCGGAGGAACACCGAUGGCGAAGGCAAUCCCCUGGACCUGUACUGACGCUCAUGCACGAAAGCGUGGGGAGCAAACAGG